UCUCCAAAUCUUUGUUAGCCUCUCAACU
Molecule: small RNA, 28 nt
Filed under: Bombyx mori (domestic silkworm)
Lineage: Eukaryota; Metazoa; Arthropoda; Insecta; Lepidoptera; Bombycidae
Description: piRNA piR-bmo-1710800
Source: RNAcentral